RNAcentral lists this long non-coding RNA (1341 nucleotides) under Macaca nemestrina (pig-tailed macaque). RNAcentral describes it as "lncRNA (ENSMNEG00000045718.1)". Lineage: Eukaryota; Metazoa; Chordata; Mammalia; Primates; Cercopithecidae. The record is from RNAcentral.
AAAAGCAUCUCCUUUUUAUUCAUCUAUUGUUUAUGAUGAAUAUGUUAUUUUGUUUAAGUUCCCAAAAAAUCCUAGGAGGAAAGGGACAUUAUUUCAGGUUACAGUUAAGGAAACUCUAGCAAAUUGUCAAUAAAUACAGAUCUAGUAAAAGCAAAACCUGACAUCACACACGAGUAUUUAGUUGAAGGACUAGUGAUAAGGAAAGCGUUAACCACAGACUCUUUUCCCUAAGCUUUUCUAGGCUUCUUGUUGGUACACCAGCUGGCCCCCAGGGGUCAUGAGCGACUAGCUCAGAGGAGGUGGGUGAGAGGAGCUGGCUGAGAAGCCGCGAGAAACGCAGCUGUGGACAUAGGCUGGCCUGGGCAAGGAGAGCUUCUGAGAUGGUGCUGCAGUCAGAAGACUCUCUCGGUGCUGCAAAUUCUGAACAACUGCAAACUCUGGCAGCCUUGCUUGAUCUCAUCGACUUUGGAACUAAGAAAGGCCAAGAGCCUUUGGAGAUGACUUUUGAACUGGCAGAGGGCAUUCAAUGCCUGGAUCCCUUGAAUGGUCACCUUAGAGACAUCCCUGCCUGUGAACAGACACUUGAUUAACCUUAGGCAGUCCUGUGCAUCACAGCCUUCUGCAAUACCUGCCAGAUCAUCUACAGAAGCUGUAAGUAAUCCAUCUCGUUCUUAAACCUUUUCUUGCCUGAAAUCAGUAGGGUUCUUUUUUCAUGGCAGGGGGUGGGGGUGUAUUUUUUUUUGUUUAUCCUCUUUGAGGUAUUCCAGUGUAAAGGAGCUUGUCUUGGGGGUAACAGAGACUUGAGUUUCAUUGACUACUUCUGUGACCCUGAGCAACUAGCUCAAUUUUCCUGAACCUUGGAUUCUAAUUUUAAGAAUGUCUUGCAAGUAGCUAUGGAGGUGAAGCAUUCUGCCUAGUUUCUAUAGCCUAUUAAGUACUUGAUUUCAGGUACUACACUCAUUAGCCCCCUUACCACACCCUGCCUUUUCUCAUGAAUUCUCAGGUUUCAUUUUAUUCCUCUGAACUUUUAUCUUAUUUCCCUUUGUUUUCAUUUCCAAAUAGAUUCUCUAUUGCCCCAAUUUAACCAGGACUAUUGCUAUGCUUAAAUAAAAUAUUUAAUUUAGGCAAUUAGAGUCUGAAGAUAAAAAGUCUGAAGAUGAGAUAUAAACUAAAAAGGAUAUUUAAAUUAAGCAAACUGCUAUUUAUUUUUCUAACUCUAACCCACCAUCUGUCAAUAUUUUGGGGUUAAGCAAUUGUUUCUAAUAGGUCUCGGUAAAAUGAAUUUGAGGAGUGUUGACUCAUUUGUUCAGAGUCAAAAUAAAACAUGUAGUCUACUAAGAG